AGUGAACGCUGGCGGUAGGCCUAACACAUGCAAGUCGAACGGCAGCACAGUAAGAGCUUGCUCUUACGGGUGGCGAGUGGCGGACGGGUGAGGAAUACAUCGGAAUCUACUUUUUCGUGGGGGAUAACGUAGGGAAACUUACGCUAAUACCGCAUACGACCUACGGGUGAAAGCAGGGGAUCUUCGGACCUUGCGCGAUUGAAUGAGCCGAUGUCGGAUUAGCUAGUUGGCGGGGUAAAGGCCCACCAAGGCGACGAUCCGUAGCUGGUCUGAGAGGAUGAUCAGCCACACUGGAACUGAGACACGGUCCAGACUCCUACGGGAGGCAGCAGUAGGGAAUAUUGGACAAUGGGCGCAAGCCUGAUCCAGCCAUGCCGCGUGGGUGAAGAAGGCCUUCGGGUUGUAAAGCCCUUUUGUUGGGAAAGAAAAGCAGCAGGUUAAUACCCCGCUGUCCUGACGGUACCCAAAGAAUAAGCACCGGCUAACUUCGUG
Molecule: ribosomal RNA, 492 nt
Filed under: uncultured bacterium
Lineage: Bacteria
Description: partial 16S ribosomal RNA
Rfam family: Bacterial small subunit ribosomal RNA
Source: RNAcentral